GCCGAAGUGGCGGAAUUGGCAGACGCGCUACAUUCAGGGUGUAGUUCCCGUCAGGGAGUGGAGGUUCGAGUCCUCUCUUCGGCACCA
This 87-nucleotide transfer RNA is filed under the name Acidobacteriota bacterium. Its description in RNAcentral is "Acidobacteria bacterium (groundwater metagenome) tRNA-Leu". It matches the Rfam family "tRNA". Rfam says of the family: Transfer RNA (tRNA) molecules are approximately 80 nucleotides in length. RNAcentral also lists the same sequence under 3 other names. The record is from RNAcentral. Lineage: Bacteria; Pseudomonadati; Acidobacteriota.